CAGCAGCCGCGGUAAUACGUAGGGUGCAAGCGUUAAUCGGAAUUACUGGGCGUAAAGCGUGCGCAGGCGGUUCGUUAAGACAGAUGUGAAAUCCCCUGGCUUAACCUGGGAACUGCAUUUGUGACUGGCGGGCUAGAGUAUGGCAGAGGGGGAUGGAAUUCCGCGUGUAGCAGCGAAAUGCGUAGAUAUAUGGAGGAACACCGAUGGCGAAGGCAGCCCCCUGGGCCAAUACUGACGCUCAUGCACGAAAGCGUGGGGAGCAAACAGGAUUAGAUACCCCUGUAGUCCCUGUCUCUUAUAC
Molecule: ribosomal RNA, 301 nt
Filed under: uncultured bacterium
Lineage: Bacteria
Description: partial 16S ribosomal RNA
Rfam family: Bacterial small subunit ribosomal RNA
Source: RNAcentral